This is a long non-coding RNA of Armigeres subalbatus, 616 nucleotides long. RefSeq lists it as uncharacterized. Lineage: Eukaryota; Metazoa; Arthropoda; Insecta; Diptera; Culicidae. The transcript has 3 exons. The record is from RefSeq and is a predicted model, not a curated record.
UAAAUCCCAAAUUUCACCUCGGUAAUGAUUUUUACCGAGUUUGUCCAGUAAUUCUUAAUUUAAACCGGAAGCUCAGUAAAGAAAUUCACAAUUUACCGAGUUCCGUAGUAAUAUAUACUGAUGCCUCAGCACUCUAAAGUAAAAUACUAGACUCGGUAAUGUAAAUUACCGAUUUAUUCGGUUUUUAUUGAAACUUUCAAUUCUGUCAAAUAAUUCUACGGAGCACUCGGUAAAAAAAAUAAAUUUUACUGAUCAUACGGUAGCUUAUUAACCGACCUCUCUGUUUCCGAAAGGCUUUCGUGACGCUUGAUGUGCCGCCAUAUUUGUCCACAAAAGUUUUCUUCGAGCUAGUGGUUUCAGCGCUUUUCGUUCAUCAAAAUUUGCAAAUUUCAUCCAGUUGUAAUGGAAACAAUUGCAUUAGAUCAACUCUUCCGGAAUUCGUUUAUUGUGCGUUGAUAGUUCGUCCUCUUCAAAUUUAAUUAAAUAUUUCGGAAAUCGACAGCAUCAGCAUCCAUUUUUUUGCCUCAGGUUGAAAAAUUCUACAUUUAAGUAGCACAAAAUGUUUUUGUAAGGAAAACGCCCUGCCAAUAUAACUCCUCGUUAUUAUCAAAUCGAA